Small nuclear RNA from Anolis carolinensis (green anole), 110 nucleotides. Its record names the gene U2. It matches the Rfam family "U2 spliceosomal RNA". From Rfam's summary of the family: U2 is a small nuclear RNA (snRNA) component of the spliceosome (involved in pre-mRNA splicing). Complementary binding between U2 snRNA (in an area lying towards the 5' end but 3' to hairpin I) and the branchpoint sequence (BPS) of the intron results the bulging out of an unpaired adenosine, on the BPS, which initiates a nucleophilic attack at the intronic 5' splice site, thus starting the first of two transesterification reactions that mediate splicing. NCBI's taxonomy places the organism in Eukaryota, Metazoa, Chordata, Lepidosauria, Squamata, Anolidae. The record is from Ensembl.
GUCCCAAUUUGGCCUUUUGGCUAAGAUCAAGUUUAGUAUCUGUUCUUAUUAGUUUAAUAAUAAAAAGCUAUUUUGUUGUUCUUUAACAUCUCUAGCAAGCCUGAGCUCAC